CAUUCACAGAGUGCCCAGCACAGAAGAAAGCAUGAGGCUGCUAAACAAAACAAAAACCUAAAAUGGGAUCUGAAGAAGUCUUUAAAUGCAAGUAGCAUGAUGUUUUCAUGACACAAUGGCUUUUGGGAGUGAUGCAAACACGGCAGAUUUCAUCAUAUAGAGGGUCAGUGACAGCAACCUGUUAACAGGAAGGAGAAAUGCAGCCAUCAAAGCUUUUGAGUGAGUGAGACCAAUCUUUAAUUGGAUACCUUCUUCGCAUUACAUUUUUACAUGCUGUAGAAAAAAGUGGGAGAAUCUGAAGCAGAAGUACAAGGACAUCAUAAGUCUUCAUAUGGUUGGGGGAGAUACAGGAAUCACAACCUGGAAGUGGUACGCAAUCAUGGAUGGAGCCCUGAGUAGCGAGAUCACCCUAAAUCCUUUCAUUACACCUGUCCACAUGUCCUCAUCUGCUCAGGAUUCUCCACCUGUUAAGCAGAGAAAAGCAGAAGAUUGGGUGAUGGCCCCACGGGAGAUGGAGAGGCUGCAGGAGGAACCAGAGAAGCGAACGACAGAGCGGGAGGAUGAGAGAGACAGACCGCAGAGAGAGAGGUGGAAAGAGACCGGAGGGCCGCAGAGAGGGAAGAGGAGCGAGCAAGUGCUGGAGAGGGAGAGGAGAAGGGAACAAGACAUUUUGCAAGAGAGGGGCGGUGGGAGAAAGAAAUGCUUGCUAGAGUAGAGAAACAGGAAAAGGAGUAUCGAGAAAGAGAAGAGAGGAGAGAUAAAGAAGCUGCUGCUAGAGAAGAAAAGCUCUCCAAACUCCUUGAGACAUUUCUGUCCAAAAAAUAGAAGAGUUACUGAUAAAAUCACAUUCCACUUUUCCAAGUUCCAAUUAUUGUAUAUUUUCUAUGAAUAAACUAUUUUGGUUGGCAUUUGUUGUCCUGUCUAGCUCUUCUGAGCCAGCCAAUAGAUAUCUUAAGUCAUUUUUAGAAUUGUUUCUGAAUUCUGGUGGACCACGGCACUGAGCCUAUACAAGAUGUUUGAACUGUCAUGUCCUCAACUACAGCAUGUAGCACAUCACAUUAGACAUAAAAUGUGUUGGUUAAUUUUAUAAUUAAUUUAAUAAUUGUGAAAUAUAUUUGGAUUCCAAUGCAAAGAAAAACUGAAUUUACUUAUAAUAAAUAUGAUCAUUUAUUUUCGAGCUCUUUUGCCUCGGUGACAAACUGCUCUAAACUUUUCUGCAGUGGCGCGCUGCUAAAAGCCUUUACAUGGUGCUUGUUUGGGCGUGUUUUAUGCAAAUUAAACGUACGCAAUUAUUAGUGAAUGAGACCAUUGUUUAUAUAAUAACUGCAAUAAGCACUCUUUAAAAUAAAGGUGCUUUAGGUUCUUCACAGCAAUGCCACAGCAGAACCAUUUUUGGUUUGACAAAGAAACUUUUAGACAAAGGUUUUUUAACCCUCAUAAGCCCCUAUUUUCCUGUAUACGUUAGAGUUCCCUGUGGGUAAAAUGACCCCAGAAAUGAAAAGGGUGAUUACUAAAAAUAUAUACAUUUUUAAUGAUACAAAAAAAUAUUUUUUUUUUGUUUACCUUCCAUCUAUACAAUAAUGCUGUGUUUUGGGAGAUAUGAAGUACUUUUGUACCUGUUUACCACUUAAUUCCUUAACUACACCAUUAGCUUGCCUGUAAAUAUCAAAUUCUUAUGAAAAAUUCACAUAAAUUAUUAUUUAAAUUUGAUUUAAAUGAUUUUUAGAUAUUGAUCUAUGUGUUAUGUGUUGUAUUCGACCAUUUGAUGUUAAGAAAAAAAAAACAGUUUUAUGGUUACAGUUUAGGAAAUAAAUCAUUUUGACCAGCAGAUGCCCAUAGAGACCCAUUCAUUUUUCUGGAUGUGGCCAACUGGUCAACAUCAAUACUUGAGUGAAACAUUUUGUGAAUUUAUGUUUAUAUUUACAUGAGAAAGGACAUAAAAAAUAAAAAUUAUUUCAAAUAGUAUAAUUUUUUUCUACUUUUUGAUGCAUUUUUAAAAGUGUCUGUUUUUACAAAAUGCCACAGAAAUUUGACUAAAUGUAAGGGUGUUUGUGUGUGUGUCUUUGUCUUUUUGUGCGUGUCUGUGUCUUUAUGUGUGUGUAAGUUUUACUGUGUCUUUGUGCGGCACACACCUGUGUGAGUAUUUUACAUCUUUUUUUUUUGCAUCUGUGGCUGUUUUAGCCAAAUUCUGUAAAAAAUGCUCUCUGUGCAGUCAUACCUUUGUGUGUUUGUUUGUGUGUGUCUGUUUGUGUGUGUGUGUGAUUGAGCAUGUCUUUUCUAUAUUGAAUUUGUGAUUUAGUACUAUGCCUACCUUUCGGUGUCAAAUUUUUCAGAUUUAUUUUGGAUGCAUUGAUUUUAUUUGAUGAUAACAAGAAAAAAUGAUUUUUUUCCAUUCCCCAUACACUUCAAUUGGGGUCAUUUUUACCCCCAAAGGGCCUCUUUUGGUGAAUUAUUUUUUUACACCUCUUUAGAACGACCGAAUCAAGCCCAGUUUUUUUUUUUUUAGAAUCUUGACAGAUAAUCUGGAAAAGUCACAAAAUCUUAUUCCACUGAGAUGAAGGGAGCCAUGCUAUUUAACUAAAUAAAAGUGGCUUGGGGGUAAGAUUGACCCCAAGGGACUUAUUAGGGUUAAAGAUCAUAAAUGCACUUUAUGGAACCAUUCAUCCAAAACAAUUCUUCUAGGGCACUGUAAAGCACCUAUAUUUUGAAUAGUGAAGAAUAAACCAACAAAACCUC
This is an RNA transcript of Paramisgurnus dabryanus, 2736 nucleotides long. RefSeq lists it as uncharacterized. NCBI's taxonomy places the organism in Eukaryota, Metazoa, Chordata, Actinopteri, Cypriniformes, Cobitidae. The record is from RefSeq and is a predicted model, not a curated record.